RNAcentral lists this ribosomal RNA (279 nucleotides) under uncultured bacterium. RNAcentral describes it as "partial 16S ribosomal RNA". It matches the Rfam family "Bacterial small subunit ribosomal RNA", at positions 506 to 784 of the family's 1533-position model. The record is from RNAcentral.
UGCCAGCCGCCGCGGUAAUACGGAGGGUGCGAGCGUUAAUCGGAAUUACUGGGCGUAAAGCGCGCGUAGGUGGCUAUGUCAGUCGGAUGUGAAAGCCCUGGGCUUAACCUGGGAAUUGCAUUCGAUACUGCAUGGCUAGAGUAUGGUAGAGGGUAGUGGAAUUCCUGGUGUAGCGGUGAAAUGCGUAGAUAUCAGGAGGAACAUCAGUGGCGAAGGCGGCUCCCUGGCCAAAGACUGACGCUCAUGUGCGAAAGUGUGGGUAGCGAACAGGAUUAGAUA